GCGCAACCCUUGUCCUUAGUUACCAGCACGUUAUGUGGGCACUCUAAGGAGACUGCCGGUGACAACCGGAGGAAGGUGGGGAUGACGUCAAGUCAUCAUGGCCCUUACGGCCUGGGCUACACACGUGCUACAAUGGUCGGUACAAAGGGUUGCCAAGCCGCGAGGUGGAGCUAAUCCCAUAAAACCGAUCGUAGUCCGGAUCGCAGUCUGCAACUCGACUGCGUGAAGUCGGAAUCGCUAGUAAUCGUGAAUCAGAAUGUCACGGUGAAUACGUUCCCGGGCCUU
Molecule: ribosomal RNA, 285 nt
Filed under: uncultured Pseudomonas sp.
Lineage: Bacteria; Pseudomonadati; Pseudomonadota; Gammaproteobacteria; Pseudomonadales; Pseudomonadaceae
Description: partial 16S ribosomal RNA
Rfam family: Bacterial small subunit ribosomal RNA
Source: RNAcentral